RNAcentral lists this long non-coding RNA (366 nucleotides) under Ananas comosus (pineapple). RNAcentral describes it as "long non-coding RNA (ACOM_LNC027322)". The record is from RNAcentral. Lineage: Eukaryota; Viridiplantae; Streptophyta; Magnoliopsida; Poales; Bromeliaceae.
UUCAAAAAUCUGAAUUCGGACCGGACUCCAAACUCGAAACCUAAAUCCGAAUUCAAUAUGAUGAAUUUUAAAAAUUCAUAUUCAAAUUCGAAUCCGACCAACAAUUAUUUUUCUUUUCAAUAUUUCAAAAUAUUAUAUUAAAUCUAAAUUUCUGAAAUACAAAUUCAAAUAUAACAUCAAAAUUUUAUAUAAAUAUUAUAUAUAAUAUAAAAUAAGGAUUCGAAUUCGGAUCAGAUACAAUCAAAAUUCAUAUUCGGAUUCAUAUUCGUCAAAUUCUUAUUUUUGAUAUUCAUAUUCAAAAUCAUAUCUAUUUAGCAUAAGAUAAAUUUACUCUUAUUAGAUUCGGAUAAAAUUUUGAAUAUCCGU